CCUACGGGUGGCAGCAGUAGGGAAUCUUCCACAAUGGGCGAAAGCCUGAUGGAGCAACGCCGCGUGGGUGAAGAAGGUCUUCGGAUCGUAAAACCCUGUUGUUAGAGAAGAAAGUGCGUGAGAGUAACUGUUCACGUUUCGACGGUAUCUAACCAGAAAGCCACGGCUAACUACGUGCAAGCAGCCGCGGUAAUACGUAGGUGGCAAGCGUUAUCCGGAUUUAUUGGGCGUAAAGGGAACGCAGGCAGUCUUUUAAGUCUGAUGUGAAAGCCUUCGGCUUAACCGGAGGAGUGCAUUGGAAACUGGGGGACUUGAGUGCAGAAGAGGAGAGUGGAACUCCAUGUGUAGCGGUGAAAUGCGUAGAUAUAAGGAAGAACACCAGUGGCGAAAGCGGCUCUCUGGGCUGUAACUGACGCUGAGGUUCGAAAGCGUGGGUAGCAAACAGGAUUAGAUACCCCUGUAGUC
RNAcentral lists this ribosomal RNA (465 nucleotides) under uncultured bacterium. Its description in RNAcentral is "partial 16S ribosomal RNA". It matches the Rfam family "Bacterial small subunit ribosomal RNA", at positions 338 to 795 of the family's 1533-position model. The record is from RNAcentral.